GACGAACGCUGGCGGCGUGGAUUAGGCAUGCAAGUCGAACGGUAUGGACCUUUCGGGGUUCAGAGAGUGGCGAACGGGUGAGUAACACGUAGGUAAUCUACCCUCAAGACGGGGACAACCCAGGGAAACUUGGGCUAAUACCGGAUGUGUGUAGUGGCUAUUUUUCUGAUUAUCAUUAUUUACGUAAGUGAGUAAUAAUAAGAAGGGAAAGUGGUUAUUACAUAAAAGGUGGCGUAAGCUGCCGCUUGGGGAUGAGCCUGCGCCCUAUUAGUUAGUUGGUGAGGUAACGGCUUACCAAGGCGAUGAUAGGUAGGCGGCCUUAACGGGUGGUCGCCCACACUGGGAUUGAGAUACGGCCCAGACUCCUACGGGAGGCAGCAGUCGAGAAUAGUCUACAAUGGACGGAAGUCUGAUAGUGCGACGCCGCGGUGAACGAAGAAAUCCCUUCGGGGUGUAAAAGUUCUUUUAUACGUGAGCAGUGUCCUUUAUAUUAAUAGUAUAAGGGAGAGAAUUAGCGUAUGAAUAAGCAAC
This 531-nucleotide ribosomal RNA is filed under the name uncultured bacterium. RNAcentral describes it as "bacterial SSU rRNA". It matches the Rfam family "Bacterial small subunit ribosomal RNA", at positions 28 to 494 of the family's 1533-position model. The record is from RNAcentral.